Molecule: ribosomal RNA, 440 nt
Filed under: uncultured bacterium
Lineage: Bacteria
Description: partial 16S ribosomal RNA
Rfam family: Bacterial small subunit ribosomal RNA
Source: RNAcentral
CCUACGGGUGGCAGCAGUGGGGGAUAUUGCACAAUGGGGGAAACCCUGAUGCAGCGACGCCGCGUGAGUGAAGACGUACCUCGGUAUGUAAAGCCCUAUCAGCAGGGAAGAAGAUGACCGUUCCUGACCUAGGAGCCCCGGGUAACUACGGGCCAGCAGCCGCGGGAACUCGUAGGGGGCCAGCGGUAUCCGGGUUUACUGGGGGUAAAGGGGAGGGAGACGGCAAUGCAAGGCUGGGGGGAAAGGCCGGGGCCCAACCCCGGAACUGCUCUGGAAACUGUACGGCUCGAGUGCGGGAGAGGUAUGCGGAAUUCCUGGUGUAGCGGUGAAAUGCGUAGAUAUCAGGAGGAACACCGGUGGCGAAGGCGGCCUACUGGACUGCGACUGACGUUGAGGCUCGAAAGCGUGGGGAGCGAACAGGAUUAGAUACCCGGGUAGUC